Long non-coding RNA from Felis catus (domestic cat), 2022 nucleotides. RefSeq lists it as uncharacterized. The record is from RefSeq and is a predicted model, not a curated record. The transcript is spliced from 6 exons. Lineage: Eukaryota; Metazoa; Chordata; Mammalia; Carnivora; Felidae.
CGUGCUGGCCAAUCAGCGCCCGGCCACGGCCGUAAUUGCCUCGCGGCGGGGCGAGCGCUGCGCCGGGCGUGAGUGAGUGUGCGCGCGCUCGCGAGUGUGGUAUGUGCGGGUGUGCGCGCGUGGGGAGGUGCGCGUGCGAGCGGGGCGUGAAGACCCCGCGACUUCCAAGCACCGCCAGAGGCCGGGCCACAGCCGGCUUCAGGGCUGCGAGGCUGCGACCGGUUUCGGUGCCCACGCGUAAUAAAGUGUUUUCAGUGCCCCGGGGGGGGGGGUGCAUGGAACCCUCUCGUUCCCGGGCUCAGCCUCAGAGCGUAAGGAGGUGUUCGCCCCCACCCCCACUCCUGUGGCCCCGCCCGCUGCGCGCCCGAGGUCCCGCUCCCGGAGAGCGGGUCCCCGCCGUCCCGCUCCCCGAGAGGCUCGGGCCUUAGGAAGGGGGUGGGGGCGAGAGCCAGUGCCCCUGGCCGCUCAGGUCUUGGGGGGGCAGGCCCCAUCCCUCACGGAGCCUCCGUUUCUAGACUCUGAACCCGUGGGGAGUCUCCUCCGGUUCCUGCAGCGGGGAGCGCGGCGACAGAAAUGCGUCCCGGGCCACGCCGCCACCUCGGGGCUGUGUCAGCUCCGCCCGGGAGCAGGUGACGGCCCAGCCACCGGGUCGCAGCGCGGUCGCGCGGGUGGAGCCGGCUUCACCGGACGCGGGUUUUCUCCGAGAGAGAGCUACAUCCCGCCUCCCAGUGCCAGCCGGGGUGGCCCCUGUCCAACCGCGUGCUGCCCGCGUUCUCCCGGGACGGCUGCAGGCCGGCUCCCGGCGCUCCGAGUUUCAGAUCAGCCACGGCGGCCGGGAGCAUCAACCCCAUUUUCCAGAGGGGAAAACAGAGGCGAGACGAGGAGAGACCACACCGUGUGAAAGAGCACGCUGAAGAGGCAGACGCACAGGGGCGGCACAGGGAGGACUGGAGGACUGGGCCCACACCCCACCGGGAGCCUUCCGGGGAGCGCGGCCCCCGGACACCCCCAUCUCGGACUUCUGGACUCCAGAGCUGAGGGACAGUCGCUCUCUGCCGUCCUGAGCCCCCCCAGCGUGUGGCCCCGAGUUCCAGCAGCCCCCGGGUGCGAGCAUUGCUGAAUUUAAACAAAGAAAUGGAGAAAGACGUCCCAGAGUGAUCCCCUGGGGGGGGAAGAGUGAAGAACUUUCGUAUCGUAUAAAUAAUACAUGCCCGGCACGGAGGAUCUGGAAAUGUGAAAAGUCCGCGAUGAUCCGGCUGCCGCGCCUCACACCUGCACCAGCCCCGAACGGGGCGCCUCUCCUCCGCACCCCUGCCGACAGGCCGCAUACCUCCUUUUUCUUUCUUUCUUUUUUUUGCCAGACGAAUGGGCAUACAGCGGCACCUAAGCCUGGGCUGCUCCAGACGGUUCGGCCGGGACUGGAGGCUCGACCCCGGGAGACCCUACCGACGUCAGCUCCUCGUCCGAGAUGCUCUCCCACCGUGCCGCGUCUCCCUGCAGGGCCUGCUCGGAACAUCCAUCCGCUCCGCCCUUGGCAGAAGCUUGAUACCUCAAGUGUCACAAAGAUUUUGAAGGAGAGGAGGCUCGGGUUUCCUCCCUGGCCCCGCCCGAGCUCCGUGGGGCUGCGAGCUCCCCCCCCCCCCACCAGCCACCAGCAUUCCUGUGGGGGCACCCGGCCCUGGCCACGCUACUAAAUCACAAACUGGGCCGCUUAAAACAACAGAAAUGGAUUGUCUCAGAGUCCAGGGGGUCGGAAGUCCGACAUCGGUGUUGCUGGGCCGAAAUCAGGUGUCCACACGGUCGUGCUCCUCUGGGGCUCUAGGCAGUGAUGGGCUUGUGGCCGCCCUGCCCCCCCUCUGCCUCUGUCUUCCCUGUGUGUGUGUGUGUGUGUGUGUGUGUGUGUGAUCUCUGUCUCCCGUUUAUUAGCAGACGUGUAAUUGCAUUUAAGGCCCAUGUGGGUAAUCCUGGAUAAUCUCCACAUCCUCGACUAAUCGCAGCUACAAAGACCCUUUUCGCACCCAA